This 274-nucleotide ribosomal RNA is filed under the name uncultured bacterium. RNAcentral's name for it is "partial 16S ribosomal RNA". It matches the Rfam family "Bacterial small subunit ribosomal RNA", at positions 523 to 796 of the family's 1533-position model. The record is from RNAcentral.
AUACGGAGGGUGCAAGCGUUAUUCGGAAUCACUGGGCGUAAAGGGUGCGUAGGCGGUUUGAUAAGUCUGAUGUGAAAUCCUAUGGCUCAACCAUAGAACUGCAUUGGAAACUGUCAGACUAGAAUACUGAAGGGGCAGAUGGAAUUAGUGGUGUAGGGGUAAAAUCCGUAGAUAUCACUAGGAAUACCGAAAGCGAAAGCGAUCUGCUGGGAAGUUAUUGACGCUGAGGCACGGAAGCGUGGGGAGCAAACGGGAUUAGAAACCCUAGUAGUCC